AGUGAACGCUGGCGGUAGGCCUAACACAUGCAAGUCGAACGGCAGCACAGGAGAGCUUGCUCUCUGGGUGGCGAGUGGCGGACGGGUGAGGAAUACAUCGGAAUCUACUUUUUCGUGGGGGAUAACGUAGGGAAACUUACGCUAAUACCGCAUACGACCUACGGGUGAAAGCAGGGGAUCUUCGGACCUUGCGCGAUUGAAUGAGCCGAUGUCGGAUUAGCUAGUUGGCGGGGUAAAGGCCCACCAAGGCGACGAUCCGUAGCUGGUCUGGAAGGAUGAUCAGCCACACUGGAACUGAGACACGGACCGGACUCCUACGGGAGGCAGCAGGGGGGAAUAUUGGACAAUGGGCGCAAGCCUGAUCCAGCCAUACCGCGUGGGUGAAGAAGGCCUUCGGGUUGUAAAGCCCUUUUGUUGGGAAAGAAAUCCAGCUGGUUAAUACCCGGUUGGGAUGACGGUACCCAAAGAAUAAGCACCGGCUAACUUCGUGCCAGCCGCCGCCGUAA
Molecule: ribosomal RNA, 506 nt
Filed under: uncultured bacterium
Lineage: Bacteria
Description: partial 16S ribosomal RNA
Rfam family: Bacterial small subunit ribosomal RNA
Source: RNAcentral